AUUGAACGCUGGCGGCAGGCCUAACACAUGCAAGUCGAGCGGCAGCGGGAAAGUAGCUUGCUACUUUUGCCGGCGAGCGGCGGACGGGUGAGUAAUGCCUGGGAAAUUGCCCAGUCGAGGGGGAUAACAGUUGGAAACGACUGCUAAUACCGCAUACGCCCUACGGGGGAAAGCAGGGGACCUUCGGGCCUUGCGCGAUUGGAUAUGCCCAGGUGGGAUUAGCUAGUUGGUGAGGUAAUGGCUCACCAAGGUGACGAUCCCUAGCUGGUCUGAGAGGAUGAUCAGCCACACUGGAACUGAGACACGGUCCAGACUCCUACGGGAGGCAGCAGUGGGGAAUAUUGCACAAUGGGGGAGGGACUGAUGCCGCCUUGCCGGGUGUCUGAAGAAGGCCUUCGGUUUGGUUAGCGCUUUUGCGAGGAGGAAAAGGUUUAUGCCACUGCUAUGUUUGGGAUGUUUACCGAAGAAGAGUACGGGUU
RNAcentral lists this ribosomal RNA (479 nucleotides) under uncultured Aeromonadaceae bacterium. RNAcentral describes it as "bacterial SSU rRNA". It matches the Rfam family "Bacterial small subunit ribosomal RNA", at positions 30 to 498 of the family's 1533-position model. The record is from RNAcentral. Lineage: Bacteria; Pseudomonadati; Pseudomonadota; Gammaproteobacteria; Aeromonadales; Aeromonadaceae.